Molecule: long non-coding RNA, 647 nt
Filed under: Marmota monax (woodchuck)
Lineage: Eukaryota; Metazoa; Chordata; Mammalia; Rodentia; Sciuridae
Source: RNAcentral
CAAUAUUCUAGGAGACUCCAGGGUUUGUCCUAUUUAUUUAAAAUUUGAUGCAAAGUUCAUUUUUUAAAAGGUGGUCAGAUACCAGUGAAACAUAUUUGUCCCAAAACCAUAAAAUGGCUUAGCCAAACAUUGGAUUUAACAAUAAAUGUUGAACAUUAAUGCCUUGGGAAGGCUCUAACUUAAGGUCCUGAGAAUUCUGCCUCUUAUCUAUCCUUAAGUCUUCCUUUCUUAAAACUCAAAAAAUUUCCCUCUGUGGUAAACUACUCCACACACUUCUUGCCCAUUUGCUGCUCUGCAUGAGUCACCCAAGUCCCUUUCAUUUAAUUGAAAUGAAAGACACCAUAUGAGUCAUAUAAUAAUAAGAGCUGCACAAGAAACAAGUGCCAGAGAAUGCAAAGUCACAGGUGACUUUCAGAACUGGCAGAAGCCACCAGACUUCCUAGCAACCCAUAAACUGCAGGCCAGCGCAGGCCUGCCCCUGAGAACACCAUACAGUAACUCCUGGGAGUAUGUUCUGAAGGUUGUAGCAAGUGUGUGUUUCCCUGAGAUAGUUGCUGAUUAGGCCUAUUCAGGCAUAUCCUGUUCACUGCAUCCAGAAAUAAAAUUACAGAAAAGUAUAAGUCCCCAAAGUGAGUAAUUAACAGACU